Molecule: ribosomal RNA, 444 nt
Filed under: uncultured bacterium
Lineage: Bacteria
Description: SSU rRNA
Rfam family: Bacterial small subunit ribosomal RNA
Source: RNAcentral
AGAGCGAACGCUGGCGGCAGGCUUAACACAUGCAAGUCGAGCGCCCCGCAAGGGGAGCGGCAGACGGGAGAGUAACACGUGGGAACGUACCUUUCGGUUCGGAACAACCCAGGGAAACUUGGGCUAAUACCGGAUACGCCCGCAAGGGGAAAGAUUUAUCGCCGGAAGAUCGGCCCGCGUCUGAUUAGCUAGUUGGUGAGGUAACGGCUCACCAAGGCGACGAUCAGUAGCUGGUCUGAGAGGAUGAUCAGCCUCACUGGGACUGAGACACGGCCCAGACUCCUACGGGAGGCAGCAGUGGGGAAUAUUGGACAAUGGGCGCAAGCCUGAUCCAGCCAUGCCGCGUGGGUGAUGAAGGCCCUAGGGUUGUAAAGCCCUUUCGGCGGGGAAGAUAAUGACGGUACCCGCAGAAGAAGCCCCGGCUAACUUCGCGCCAGCAGCCGC